RNAcentral lists this ribosomal RNA (548 nucleotides) under Aporcelaimellus sp. MCt13. RNAcentral describes it as "SSU rRNA". It matches the Rfam family "Eukaryotic small subunit ribosomal RNA", at positions 1078 to 1651 of the family's 1831-position model. The record is from RNAcentral. Lineage: Eukaryota; Metazoa; Nematoda; Enoplea; Dorylaimida; Aporcelaimidae.
GAUUAGCAGCUUCCGGGAAACCAAAGUUUUUCGUUUCCGGGGGAAGUAUGGUUGCAAAGCUGAAACUUAAAGGAAUUGACGGAAGGGCACCACCAGGAGUGGAGCCUGCGGCUUAAUUUGACUCAACACGGGAAAACUCACCCGGCCCGGACACCGUAAGGAUUGACAGACUGAGAGCUCUUUCUUAAUUCGGUGGGUGGUGGUGCAUGGCCGUUCUUAGUUGGUGGAGCGAUUUGUCUGGUUAAUUCCGAUAACGAACGAGACUCUGGCCUAUUAAAUAGACGAUAUAUUUAAAAGUAUAUCGCGCUUCUUAGAGGGACAAGCGGCGUCUAGCCGCAUGAAAUAGAGCAAUAACAGGUCUGUGAUGCCCUUAGAUGUCCGGGGCUGCACGCGCGCUACACUGAAAGAAUCAGUGUGCGUUACGCCUAGUUCGGAAGAACCGGGUAACCCAAGUAAAUUCUUUCGUGCUUGGGAUAGGGAAUUGCAAUUAUUUCCCUUAACGAGGAAUUCCCAGUAAAUGCGGGUCAUAAGCUCGCGUUGAUUACGUC